This 254-nucleotide unclassified non-coding RNA is filed under the name uncultured Sordariales. Its description in RNAcentral is "sequence contains ITS1". The stretch from base 1 to 105 matches the Rfam family "5.8S ribosomal RNA", at positions 50 to 154 of the family's 154-position model. The record is from RNAcentral. Lineage: Eukaryota; Fungi; Ascomycota; Sordariomycetes; Sordariales.
GAAAUGCGAUAAGUAAUGUGAAUUGCAGAAUUCAGUGAAUCAUCGAAUCUUUGAACGCACAUUGCGCCCGCCAGUAUUCUGGCGGGCAUGCCUGUUCGAGCGUCAUUUCAACCAUCAAGCUUUAAGCUUGUGUUGGAGCCCUGCGGCUGUCCGCAGGCCCCUAAAUACAGUGGCGGGCUCGCUAUCACACCGAGUGCAGUAGUUUUCUUUCUAAGGUUGACCUCGGAUCAGGUAGGGAUACCCGCUGAACUUAA